AUGGCCAGGGGCCUGGCCAUGGGGAUUGCAGGGGAUCUGGUGGGAAUGGGGGGUAUCCAAAUGGAGAAGGAGACCAUACUAGAACUGAAUCACCACCUGGACUCCUACCUGGACAGAGUGAGGAACCUGGAGACUGAUAAUUGAAGGCUGGAGAGCAAAAUCUGGGGACACCUGCAGAAGAAAGGGCCCCAGGUCAGAGAUUGGGCACACUGUUUCAAGACUAUGGAGGACCUGAGCACCCAGAUCUUUGCAAGUUCUCUGGGCAAUGCCUGCAGCAUUCUGCAGAUUGACAAUACCUGUCUUGCUGCUGAUGACUUUAGAGUCAAGUAUGAGUCAGAGCCGGCUGUGAGCCAGUCUGUAGAGAAUGACAUCCAUGGACCCCGCAAGGUCAUUGAUGACACCAAUGUCAGUCAGCUGCAGUUGGAGACAGAUAGAGGCUCUCAAAGUAGAACUGCUUUUCAGGAAGAACCACCAGGAGAAAAUAAAAACACUACAAGCCUGGAUUGCCAGCUAUGAGUGGACCGUGAAGGUAGAUGCUCCCAGAUCCCGGAACUUAGCAAGAUUAUGGCAGACAUGUGGGCCCAGUAUGAAGAGCUGGCUCAGAAGAAUUGAAAACUGGACAAGUACUGGUACCAACAAAUUGAGGAGAUCACCACAGUGGUCACCUCACAGUCUGCGGAGGUUGAAGCUGCUGAGAUGAUGCUCACAGAGCUGAAACAGACCGUGGUGAUUGACCUGGACUCCAUGAGAAAUCUGAAGUCCAGCUUGGAGAACAGCCUGAGGGUGGUGGAGGCCUGCUAUGCCAUGAAUAUGGAGCCUCUUCAUGGAAUCCUGCUGCAUUGGAGUCAGAGCUAGCGAGGGUCAGAGCCAGGCCCAGGAGUACCAGGCUCUGCAGAACAUCAAGAUCAAGCUAGAGGCUGAGAUCACCAUCUACUGCUGGAAGACACGGAGGACUUCAACCUUGGUGCUGCCCUGGACAUGAACAACUCCAUGCAAACCAUCCAAAAGAACCCCUACCCACAGGAUAGUGGAUGGCAAAAUGGUUUCUGAAACCAAUGAUACCAAAGUUCUGAGUCAUUGA
This is an RNA transcript of Otolemur garnettii (small-eared galago), 1081 nucleotides long. It is a transcript of the gene named keratin, type I cytoskeletal 18 pseudogene, with no coding region annotated. The transcript has a single exon. NCBI's taxonomy places the organism in Eukaryota, Metazoa, Chordata, Mammalia, Primates, Galagidae. The record is from RefSeq and is a predicted model, not a curated record.